CAAAGACUAUAUUUCUCACGCGUGGCCCACGUGCAACUUUAAUUUCAGCAGUAGAGUGCAUGAGCCAAUUCAGUGAAAUGUCACAGGCCAGGCAAAAAGGUUAAAGAUCAGACAGACAGCUGACCUUACUGCCCUCACUGGCCAGGCUGAUGACCUGAUUCUUCCCUCGGGCUCAGUCUCCCUCUAAAACACCUUGUGAUAUGCUUCAAAAGUUCACUUUUGUAUCUCCUGAAACAUGUGAACCUAGAGUAAGGCCUCCGGAGGUGAAAGGAUUGUUUUUGUGAUGCAGCAGUGUUGAGAUCUGUAUCCAUGGUAUUGCUCACAAAUUAGGAAAAGUUGUUCUUUAGUUUUUGUUCUGUCAUUUUCCCCCCAAGCUUUGGCACAUCCUGAGACAAUGCAAACAUCCGCCACUGGCAUUUGGCCGUCUCCAGGUUCCUGGCACUCACCUGCACGGCGCUCCAGCCUGCAGCUCUCUCUGCGCGCCAGCCGGCAUCAUCCAUCCCAUUCUCCUUCAAUCACUCCCUCCCGCUGAGGUGGGCCUCCUGACUCCAGCGUUUGCAUUGCUUCCUCUGAAGCCAGAGGGUGAAAGGCCCUAGCAAAGUUAGUUAUCAGUCAACUGAUGAUAACUGUGAUCCUUAAAGAUGAAUUCCCAGCCUGAGGUGACACACAGAGGUUCAGCAGACGUCUCAGGAUCUGUCACAUGUCAUGUUGCUUGGUGUGAAGAUGGAAGAACAAAGUCCACAUCAGUUUCUGCUCCUUCAAACAGUGUGUCGAUAUGAAACAUUGAGAUUUGGCAGAAACAUGUGCCUAGUUUGCAGCAACAAAUACUGGUCUUCUCGGAAGUGUUUCUGUUUUUUUGUUUUUGUUUUUGUUUUUGUUUUUUUUGUUUAAUUUCCUCUUCUGGCAUCCCCAUUUGGAUCAUUUCCUCUCUUUCUUUCCUGGAGAAACAGGAUGGCAGGUGCUGGAGCCCAGAAAGGGGGUCACCCUCCAGCUAAAAUGAUUUAAAUGGAAAGGAGAAUGACAGCAAAGCCUCACGUGAACUUUAAUGACCUUAUCAAUGACCUUUACUAACUGACUUUUGGUACCCGGAUUGUUGAGAGGUGAGUGGGACUAAAAGCCAGGAUCAAGAUCAGGUUGCUCCACACAUUUGCAGAUCAGGAGCCCCAGGAAUGUGAGUUAGACCCAGAAAGUAUUGAACUGGACAUUGAAUGAAGCUUGAGGCCACGCAUUGAUAACAUUUUUAGAGUCUGUUACAUUAUUUUCUCAAAAGGAACACAUGUUUACUACAAACCAUUUAGAAAAUACCAAUAACCAAACAGAAGGGAAAUGUCUGGAACCUUCCAGUUGUUUAAUUCUGUAGAAACUGUUCACGAAAGGCUGAAUGAGUGGGGACAAGUCACAGAGGUCUCGCCAUGGUUAGCACCAGGGACAAGUCUGGCUCCAAUGUAUGUUUUAUGAAGUCUGAUUAGCUUUCAAAUGCAUCUUUGCCAGCUGAACUUGUCAUGCACUAAACUUCCCAUUGAUCAUUAGAGUGUCUACGAUUAAGUGGAAAAGGUGGUCAACCAUUUGGAUGUUUGACUUUCACAACAUCAAGCAUUGGCCAUUGGGCAUAUCUGGGCAUUGCUAUGGAAUAAGCAGGAUACUCAGUGAAACAUCCAAAUUAUUGACUGGAUUUUUCCCAUGGGGCAUCUGUCUAAGAGUCACAGAUCUGAGAAAUAGAAGGACCAGGUCCGUGUGGAUGCCCCUAGUGUGUUCAAAUAACUCUUGAAUUCACCAGGUCUCAUUGCAUUUAUUUAAAGAUGGAGCCCAUUGUCCCCUCCUCCUCCUCAGCUCACCCAUGGAACUAGAAAUUCACAAACCUGAAGCUGAACCGCAGGACAAGAAAUUAAACAGCAACGGCCACAUGGCCUCUUUUUUCACAGGUUUUGCAUUGAAUGUUUUAGAACUUUAUUCCCCCACCCCCUUACCCAUGUAUACCAAAACUGGUUUUAUUUUCAUUUUCCUAAAUUAUUUUCUGAUACAAUAAACUGUUAACUGUUUAUUUAUACUUUUACAAGGAGCACUUGUUAUUUUUCAAAAGGAAAACAAAAGCCUCUCUGUUUUCAUGUUCUCC
This 2113-nucleotide long non-coding RNA is filed under the name Pan troglodytes (chimpanzee). RNAcentral describes it as "long non-coding RNA NONPTRT000045". The record is from RNAcentral. Lineage: Eukaryota; Metazoa; Chordata; Mammalia; Primates; Hominidae.